GGUUUUUUCCUCCCUUGUUCUUGUAUUGCCAUUUUGCUUUUGUAUUCACUUUUUUUCAUCACCUGACUUUUUGCACAAUUUCUGGUUUUCAGUUAUUAAAGCACAACUGUAUUUUAACUAACAAGUGAAAAUAAAUCAACCUUUGGAAUUUUCUUCCAAUAUUUUGCAUAAAGACUUCAUAAUGUAGCUUUAGUUGUCGCAGCUUCUUCAUCUGCCAGUUUUUGAGACAGUAAUAGUACAUAUCAGGCCUUGAAAAGGAAAUAACUUCUGUAUUAAAAUACCAGUAUCUUAAUGGUCUCCAAACUGAAACUGUUCUAGUGAAUGCUGAGAUUCCUGCAUUUGAUACAGUAGAAUAUAGAGCACUUUUACAUGUUACAAAAGUACUUUUUGUUUUCAAGAAGGUGCUUAUGCUCAAUCAUCUGACCACUCGUACUAUUUUUCCCUUGCCCUCCUGUUUUAAGAAAUCAGAACUUGGUUACUUUCUGGUCUGUGUGUGUUUGUUACCAUCAUUGCUAUAUGAACCAUAUGGCUGCUGCAUCACUUCAGGCUUGCUGCAUCACUACAAGGUUUAAUCUACUUGAGCAAGUGCUGUAGGGUCAGGAUUUGGGGAGAGUUCUGGAAGGAGGUACAUGUGGAGUGAGGAAGGGUGAGCAAAAACUGCUCUCAUCUGUCUCCCUGAUGAAUUAUACAAGUGUGGGUCUUUAGAACGUACAGACUCAGAGCAGCAAAGCAGCAGGUUUUGGUUUUUGUGUCUGCUUUGGGAGCAGCAUAGCCAGCUGGAGUCUAAAGUGCUUCCUAAUAUUCUUUGCUGAGUUCUUCUGCCAAGAAUGUUUUGGGUUUGUUUGUUACUCUCUCCAGCUUUCAUACAGUCUGGUGCCCUUCCUGGCACUGUUGCCGCCCAGUCUCCUGCUUGCUACUGGCUCUGGGUUGGACCACCCUGUCUUCCAUAUCUGCUGUAGAGGAUUGUCAGAGCUUUACCUUGCUCUCCAGUGUUAGUGGCUGCUUUAAAGUCACUGCCUGCUUUAUUAAUGAAGUUUUGUUUCAUCUUAUUGGCAGUGGUGGUUUUGCAGCAUGUGGGACCUACUCUGCUGUUUUUCUUCUGAGCCACCUUGUAAUUUCACUGUGGUACUUGUGCAUCCUUGCUUUAGGGUUUAUUGUUGUAUGUGUGCUUUGCCUCUCAUUGCUGUCCUGUAAGAUUCUGCAGGAAAUUUCCUCCUACACUAGUUUCUCAUUAAAAUGUUUGACUUCAAGGUGUUUCUUCAAGUUUCAACAGUUAAGUUACUGCAUGGGUUUGCCUCUGUCCUUGACACUGGGGAUAACCCUUUAACUAGGUGCUGUGUGAGGAUAGAGCACACACUUGAAGAGGGGUCUGGGAUUGAACCAUGAUUCUGUUACUCUUGGACUAACUGUGGCCUGCAGUGAAAACCAGUGAUACACACAAGUUAUUUUUCUAUAAAUACUAUUUCUGUAAGUGCUAUUUCAUAGCAUGGAGGGAUGUCUUUGGUAUAGUUGCAAUUUCUUAUGCUUUGCUCAAAAGAUUUUGAGCAUUUGUACAACGGUGAUGCAGAGCUUUUCACUAAGACUGAUGAAAUUUCCAGUUGGGAAUAUUUGUGAAGUGUUUGGGAAUUGAUUAGUUUGGGAGGACCAGCAGCUUAUAGAAAAACAGUUUUUUUCUCAGCUAACUAGAAUUAAGGGGCAUACUUUUGAGGAGUAAUUUCAAAUAAGUUUAUUUUUAGGGAUUUCUAACAGGAUAACUUUUUUCUCCCCACAGAUGUGCUUUUUCAUGUACUGGAUUUAUAUGCAUUGUUAUGUCAAAGAACAGAUCAAAACUAGUGCAGUGUGAUUCUGGCAGCACAAAACAAGUUGCAACAUAGGGAUAAGACUAAAAUACAUAGGUCUUUCAUUAAGCUGACAUGCUUGGGGAGUUCAGACUUGAGCUGUAGCAGAAGUAGAAUCAAAUAUAUGGGAUUUCUAACUUCCACCUCUGUGCAGCAGGUCAGUUUGAGGUAUUUGAGGCAUCUGAAAAAACAUGGCUGUUACUGCUCUUCUGGCCUUAUUAGUGCAAUGAUGUGUCUUUAAAUACAAGGCGACAGUAGAAUGUUAUGCAUGUGAGGUAGCCUGUUGCAUCUUCAGUUGAGCAAAAUUACUUCUGAUCUCUGAUGAGAUCUUCUCAGUGUGACUUCCAAUUUAAGCUUCAAACAUUGCUUUCCCAUCUUCUGCUGUCUUGAAUCAUCUUACCAACUUGGUUAUCUUCCUUACAAAAAUCUGGUGAGCACAGCAGACAUCUUCUGAGGGCAGCAUCUGAUCAGCCUGUAUGUAUGGAGCCUUUUGCUACGUGUGGGUAGUUCUGCCAGGUUGUACGGUCCAGGAUGAAGGAAGUCAGUGUGUCUAAGUGUGGCUGGGUAGAGAGCACACAGGAGGCUGCCCAGCUACCUGCAAGGCUUGUGUGGUUUUGAGAAGUCAGUGGCAUUGGCAGCAUUUUUCCCUGUCCACUCCUCUGGUAAAAUCAACCCUAAAAGCCCCACAGACUGUUGUAACCAUUGAGGGAAGGGAUGUGACUCAGUUCUAACAACCUUAGUGUUGGUGGAACUGUUGCCUGGUGAAGUUACCAAGCUUCUUUUCAGGUCAUAGGCUUAACAGGGACUGCAGCAAUCAAUGGUGUCUGUGGGAGUGCUUUUGGUAACUCUUCCUAUGAAGAGAUUACAUCUCUGAAAACUUGGCUGGAGAAACAAUAAAGAUCUUGCUUUCCCUACUUGUUUUGGUACUCAGGUUUGGUUUUUACCCUAUCAUGAAGUUUAGCAUACACAAUAAAGGACAUUUUGAUCCAUAAAAAUUUAUGGGUCCAGCACUUAUUUUUUGUCUUCACCUGGGAAUCUAAUCAAAACCACUUGGCUUUGGUGCAGUUUAGCAGUUUACUGGACAAUCAGGUAAAGACCAGCAGAGAUUUAAAUAGCAGGAACAUGUUUACAAUAUCUUACUAUUUAUAAACUUGAAAGAAUUCAAUAAGUACUUUUACCUUUUUUGGUGGUUGUAAUGCUUUCUUUACUUUAAAGAAUACUUUAUUUUCUGCAAUGUCUCAGUGCACUGUUGCUGUGUCAAUAUUUCCAACGCAGCAGGGGACUGUUUACAUAAAAACACCAAAGUGUUUUCUUUAGAUUUUUUAAUUGCAAACAUUUGCAUCCAUAAAAGCAUUUGCAUGAAAUUUGGGUAGCUUUUUUUUUAUUCUGUUCAAAGCUAAACUUGGAUCAUAGUCAGUUUCCAGAUUGCUUUCUUUUCUGAACCAUGCAAUAUGAACAUUUUAUCUGAACCUACAUCAGCAGGUGUAGAAAAUUCCACCUGCCACUUCAAAUGGCAGUUCUAAUGAUCUGAAGUCAGGAAUGGUUGUUUAAAAACAGCUACAUUGCUUACACUGGCUGCAGUGUAAGUGCUUUUGAUAUAAGUACCAUCUACAUUGCUGAUACUCAGUGUCCAUAAAUGCCCUCUGUUACCCCAAAUAUAAGGUUACAUGAAGGUUGUGGGCUGUAGAGUGGUGCUACUGGUUAGUGGGACUGCUUAGUUAAUAAUCUGCAAGACAACUUGGUGGCAGAGGACCUGGACUGUGUGUCCAGGAGUAGAUGUUCCUAGCAUAAACAGGGACAUGGCAUGUCCUUGAAAUGUAUAACAUGAGCUAAGAGUUCAAGCCUCCUCUGCCUAAGCUUCCCACCUUGCACUUGGGCAUUCUGGCAUGUGUCUUCCACCAUACCUGCCUAGGCUCAGCUCCCGGGUUUUAUUCACUUUGUAACAGUGAAAUGCCAUUAAUGGUGUUCGGAGCAAAGAAAUACCACCAGGGCAGGCAGAUGGUUCCCUGCUGUGUACAUCUCCCUGGGAUGGUCUGUGCAGUGCUAAGGGAAAAUAUUGUUUUCCCUAUAUUUUAGCUGUGGAAUGAUACAAGCACUUAACAGAGGUGCUGGGAUUACAAAUGUUAGCAAGUCCACACUAGCAAUAAUAAAAUAAGGUCAGUUUGAGAUGGGGAAAUCUCUGAGGGUGCCUUUGCUCAGGGCAUGCAGGUGUGUGUCUUGCUGCACUUGGUGUGACUGGGUGGACUUGAAGCAAUAGAGUUCUUGAAGUGGUAUUGGAUUGGGAUAAGCAUUUAAUUUUCUUUUCCUGUGCAAUUUCCUUGUCCUUUAUCCCUCAUCAGCACUCUUCUCAAGCGGGAUAUGACCUUGUUAUUGAGUACUGGUAGAUAACAGAAGUCUCACUACCAUUACAUGGGAUUGCUGGGAGAAAUGAGUGAGUUUACACCUGUAAGAUCAUGAAGUUUUUCCAGAAGCAGCACAAAAAACUUGGUGAUAUUCAAAGGCAAAAAUCAGUGACUUUGAGGAUACCCAAUCUGUCACUCACUUUCCCAUUGACAAAAAGAAGAUGCAGCUUUGUCCUUUAGUAUGGCAAAUGGAAAAUAUUUGGGCAGAAUAUUUCAGUGGAAUUUGGUUGCAGAAGUAAAUUACAUGUGCAUCAGUACUGCUGCAGGUGCUCUGUGGGCCAAUAUGUGAGCAGAAAAAGGAGCCCUGGCCAGUAGGUGAAGCUGAUCAGGCUGUCAUUGAUGCUGACCCACCAAGCUUGAGGACAUUUUAUGGAUCUGAUUACAGAACCGUGGAGUCCAAGGAGGGACCUUAAAAGACUACUCUUCUUCUCAUGCCUUAGCAUGCUUAAAAAAAAAACCCAAACAACAGAAAACCACACAGCCACAAAGUACUUUGAUUGUAUGACUGGAAUAUAGUUGCAAAUGCUAUCUAAGGACAGUUGGUGAUACCUGAUACGCACCAUUUCCUACCAUGCAUUUUCUGUUUGAAACAUUUUGAUUACCUGCAAAUGAAAUUGAGUAUAAUUGAAGUUUUCAGUAUUAUUAGAGAACAAUACAAUUUACCUGUAUGUUAAGACAAAAUGGUUUUUACUUUUGUUAGCAAGAAUUUAAAAAUAUGUUUGAUUUGUUUGGGGUUUUUUGUCAGUGCACAAAGCAUUGAAAACAAACCCUUAGCAUGUUACAACACUGUUGCACUGCUGAGAACAGAACAAGUUGUUCACAGACCUGUGUUGCCCAGAGGUAUAAAUAAUCUCAGUUGUUCCCCAUCAGAUGGGGAGGAAUGGAUAAACACAUCCUUUACCUGCCUCUUGUAUGAGGUUAAUACAGGGUGCUUCCCCAAAUGGAGAAUCUGAGAACUAGACCUUGGGUCACCUGCUUCCCCACUGGCUCACAGCAUCAAAGCUGCUGGGCUGGGAUAUACAGUGCCUUUUCACUUCUCUUGAUCUCUCCAGCCCACAGUCCCAGAAUGAGCAGUUUCUGCAGAGCAUGGGAACAAAGAAACUCUUCCCUUUUCUGUUACUCCGCCCCCCUCUCUUCCCUCCUUGUUCUGCAGCUUCAGUCUGACACCUUGUUCUCUGAAGCUCCUGCAAGACAUGCUGUAACUGAGAAACAGAAACGGCUGAGAUGUUUACUGUUGAGUGUAAGAAAAGUGCAAUGCUACUUAGCUUUCCUAAGUCUGGGAAUUGUUUGUUAUAGCCUGGUUAAUGUCUCCCAGUGGUAGAGGACCAGAAAGGGUAAACCUACUUAUUGCUGUGACUUGUGUUGCCCAGGAGAGUACCACAGCAUGCCCUGUAUAUCAAAUGGCAUGAGCAUGGGAAGAUUUGGCUGUGGUAGGAGGUAAGAAUUACUUGACAGAUGUGUUCUGGUAAGAUGGCUUACUCUGUGGCUUAGCCUGGUAAGCCAAAGGAAAGUAAAGUAUGUCUUAAUUCUCUUUCAAAAUGCAGAAGUUACUUUCUUGAGAGGAUGUUGUUGCCUUGAGCAUGUGUGCCUUUUUGAUGUAGAGUGUUUGAAAAGUAAGGAUGCAAGUGAAGGCCCUGUCAAGCAAGAACUGAAAGCUUUGAAAUGUUUGCUGUAUAUGCUUCAUCUGUGACUUUGCUCAAGACUACUGGCAAUUAAAUUUACUGAUGUAUUCAUAUUUUAAUGCCUGUGAAGUUGCACCACAGGUUUACAGUGUCAUUAUUGAUUAAUUAUUUUAUGCACAGCAAUCAAAGGACCUAAUCUUCUGAUUUGUCUCCUUCCUCCUCCCCCCUCCUCCUUCCCUGUUCCCCCUAUCCCAGUCUGUGGGAGAGAUGUCACUGUGAAAAGAAGAGCAAUUUCAGGCAUCGAGGUGAAGGCUGGACUGACUUAGGGAGCUUCAGAGAGUGCCAUUUACCUGAUGUUCUCCUCUCUGUUGCUGCACUCCUUGAAAACAGGCAGGACUAGAGGAAAAGAGUUAGAAGCACCCUGGUGGGUCAGUGAGGACGAGUGAGCCCUUUGAGAUAGGUAAGAAUGGGAAAGUUGUCAAUAUUUAAUAAAUUUCACCUAUGGUGUCCAUUCUAAGGAUUUGGUGAAGUAGGAAAUGCACCCGCCUACGCUAGUACUUACACAGAGCUCCAGAAAAGGGGUGAAGUUUGGGGCUGGCUUUAGAUUCCCUGCUUUCCCUCCUUGUCUGUUGCCAUGCUUGCUGUGGAGGCUUUGGCAGGAGGAAGGGAUCAGUUCACCACCCCUGUUCCUCUUGACACCUGGGCUUGUGGAGUUCCUAGUGGUGUUGGAACAGUUGGUGCUGCUGGGAGAGGUGGGUGAGCUGUGGCUGAGGGCUGGUGGGAACAGUAGAGGAAAUGACAUGGUGCUGUGCCAGGGCUGCACAACAACUGCCUGAGCUCAUCAUGCUUAUGGAAGCAGAAAUUCAGUUGAUGUCUAGAAAAGAUGAGUUUGGCAAAUUUGUAUGUAAGCAUUGGAAAUUGUAACUACAGAGCCACAGGAGGCUGGAGAAAACAUAGUCUACUCAGGGAAAACAGUUAAAUUAGGGGAAAUAUUCUAUUUGGAGGCCUCUUUCAGGCAGUAAGGAAACAGCAGAGUCUGUGUGACUUUGUUGUGUGUCAUGUUAAGUACAGUCAAUACUGAGUCAUAAAUUAUAGAGGUGCAUCGUAUAGAUAAGUUGUUGAAUUUAUAGGUGGCAUAUGAAUAUUUGUUUCCUGUGUUGUUUCCUAUUUUUUUUUUUGGACUAGGAGUUCCCAGGGGCAGUCAGUGGCAAUGCCCUGAGUAGAAACUCUUUAGAGCUCUCUUAGAUACAUUCAUGAUUUACCUUCCAUGUGUGCUCCUUUGCUUUUGUAGGCUGGAUUUCACCUCCUGUUGUAAGUGUAGAUUUCUAGGGCCCUUGGCAAUUUCUCAGCAUUUCCUUUAAAGAUGAUGACUCAGCCCACGAAUUUCCAAAUAUCCCAGAGUUCCUUCUAACUUCUUCUGAAUGAAGGUGCUUCCAACUUCUCUAAAUACCUCUGCUAGGUUGUGGGUAAGAGAAGCUCAACUUCUGUGUGUGUCUUUGACUUUAUUUUGUUCCUGUCUUGUCUCUUGUCCUCUGACACACUGUGCUGUUCUUUACAGUGCAAGUUUUACUUCUCAUGUUUAUAAAAUAAAGCUUAGCCACCUGACCUAGGAUGCAGCAUUAUGUCAAAGAAAUAUCAUUCAGCCCAUUUUGUUCAAAGUGAAGCUGCUCCUACUGCAGCUAUAUAAAAAUUACUCCAUUUUUGUCAACAGAUGAGCCUCAUAUUCAGCACACUCAUAUGCAUUUAUUUAUUUCCAGUUUUCCAAUUUAACGUAUUAAUUGUUGAAGAUGUUAUUUUAACAGGUUGUGGCAUCAGAAAAGUUGUUUCUUCCAGAAAAAAAGCAAUUUCUAUAAAACAGAAAAGGUCCUGAAAACCCAUCUCAAUUAUUCUGUUUUCUUCCUCUUUACUCCCUGAAAGGAAAAUUGAUUCAUCUAGUAAUUUGCACAGAAAUUCCUCCCACUUUACUGCAAAGCCCUAGAAGUACAUUAUAACAAUUUUUUUCAUGCAUUUUUUACUGCAUAAAGAUGUAUGUGAUAACAAAACAUGAGUCUUGGCUUUUACAUUAAUAAAGAUGACCUACAAUACCAGUGGGAUAUUUCAAAACAUUUUUAAAACAGAAAUUAAAAUAAUUUCUCUCUUUACUUAGAAGAUAAAUUAUGUGAACCAAUUUCUGAGACUAUAUUUGUAGCACUGUCUUUAGUUUCUAUUUUGGUGGUCUGGCUUUGAGCUAGACUUUUUUUUUGUUAACUUGGAAUUUUUCUGGCACAUUGCAAAAAUGGUUCUAUUUUAUUAUUAUGAACAUUUUGCAAAAUCUUUCAGAGUAGACUUUUCUAAGUUAACCAACACCUGUGCAGUUAUUUUCUACUUCUUAGAAAACCACAGCUGAAAGGAGCAAUUAAAAACUUGAUUGCUGCUUUAAACUUGGAAUUUAAGAUGUAUUUAACACAAAUAAGCUCUCAUUUCAGGAUUGCUUGAUGCAGCCGUUUCCCCUGUCAAUAUUAAUUAUACUUUUGGGUAUGUGUGGACUGUAGGAUCUGGCGCUUAGGGAUUUAGAAAUCGUGGGUUCUCAUACAAGUGGUUCCAGAUGGGUGGAUUUUUUCUUUGGAGACUCCUGGGCCUUCCCAAGACAUAAUUUGUACCAGCCAGUCCACACUUGCAAUACAGCGCCUCUUGAGAGUCAUUUAGUGUAGUUGGGCUGCAUUGUGCUCAGAAAAGCUUCACUGAAUUGCUCUCAUCCAGGCUUGCAAAGCAGAUUAAUACUAGGCCUUACCAAUAUCAAUAUAAAAAGAAAUACAUGAAUAAUCAUGGAGGUGACUCUCUGCAUAAUCCCUGACUUUCACUGUCACUGCAGGAGCAGGGAGGUGCUCUGUGCAGAGACAGCUGAGCUGAUCCUGGCGUCAGGUGCCACAGAGCUGUGGCAGCAUCCUGGGGAUGUGGGUCCUGGCACGUCCCAGUCCCUGCUCACUAUAAACAGUGUCCCCAGCAGGAGCACAAAGGAGGCGAGCUGCUGCUCACCUGUGGCUUUUGGGCAAGGCAGAUGUCCACCUCUGUAGCGUGAGGUACAGAGCUAGGAUGUUCUCAAAGCAGUCUAAGCAUAAGGGAGCACUGAACCCAAGUCACACUAGUCCCAGCCGUGGCAAUGACUAAACCUGCAUGUGACUGAGCUGUGAGCUACUGUACAGGAUGCCAAAGCAUUUUGCCUGCCUACCAUUACUCUCCUUCUCCCCAAAAUAUAAAGCUAAGUUUAUAUAAAUGUAAAACUCUCAUAUGCAAAUACCAAGUGGAUUUCAUUCUCAAGUUUUAAAUAACUGUCAAUGGUCUAAGCAUAAUAAAUAAAUA
Long non-coding RNA from Taeniopygia guttata (zebra finch), 9201 nucleotides. Lineage: Eukaryota; Metazoa; Chordata; Aves; Passeriformes; Estrildidae. The record is from Ensembl.